Myotis brandtii (Brandt's bat) is the source of this 986-nucleotide long non-coding RNA. RefSeq lists it as uncharacterized. The transcript is spliced from 3 exons. The record is from RefSeq and is a predicted model, not a curated record. NCBI's taxonomy places the organism in Eukaryota, Metazoa, Chordata, Mammalia, Chiroptera, Vespertilionidae.
GCUGCUUAAGAGGCGGUGACAGCCGAGGGGUCUCCUCCUAGGCAGGCUGCACCCUGGGGGACCCGCCAGGCUGCGAGUGAACUCCAGAGCUCUGGGGGCAGUGGGGCCAGUGAAGAGGGAGCGAGGAGGGCCAGGGAGCGGCUGAGAAAGGACUACCAUGCCGCCUCUCCUUCCGUGCAAAGCGUGAAAGCCAGGGGUGUGCGGGGCAGAGACUCGGAAGGUUCUGCGCUUUCCUGCUACGCAUCCCACAGAAGAAACACAAUGCAAAGAAAAGAUGCGCUCCCCAAACUCCCAGCACCAUGGGUGACAGGCCGCCUUGAAAAGGGUAGGCUUAAGGAGGCCCCACAGCAGAGCUGAGCCCACCCGACUCCGGGGAAGACCUAGUGGGGGCUAAGGCCGCCCUGGAAGUCCAAGUCCGAGUUGCAUUCCUUGAAGAGACUGAGCCAGGCAAAGCUUAACAUUGGCCCUGGAGACUGGUUUCCCAAGAGCUGUUCUUUUUCAAGAGCUCCACAGCGCGGAGCCAUCUCCAGAAAACAAUCCUCGGCGUCUAUUUCCUUUUAUCGUCAACCCGGAGCCCCACGGCAGCUAAUGCAAGAGGCCAAAAAUGUUUUGGAGGAAGAAAAACAAAGGCAGGAAGUGGCGGCGGACUGACGGUCUAGGCAGCCCUCGCAGGGCCGGCCCGUCGCUCCCCGCGCAACAUUUUGGAGAUGGCCACCCGGAGAGGAGAAGGCUGGCGCCCGCGCCAACCUCGUCAGGCGGAAAUGGCUAACGAGGAGAUUUGCGCAGCAGAGCAGACCAAGCCUUUCCAAGGCUCCUUUGAUUUGGCCCUAAUGUCGGAGGGGGUAGUUGGGGGUUCUGCAGCGCCUCCGGAUCCUCCUGGGGCGGGCUGAGUGCACCCUGGCGGUGAUGGGGUUAUUCUUGCGCCCGCGCUCCACGCGCCUUCCUAGGCGGGAUGUCGGAAUAAAGUGUGUCCAGGUGCCUCUGCC